CCUGAUUGAUUCUGUCAGCGCUAUAUGCUCAGUUUAAGAUUAAGCCAUGCAUGUCGAGUUCAUCUAUAGAGAAACUGCGAACGGCUCAUUAGAGCAGAUGUCAUUUAUUCGGAACGUCCUAUUGGAUAACUGCGGUAAUUCUGGAGCUAAUGCAAUAAAACCUGACUUUGGAAGGUUACAGUAUGGUACAAAACCAAUCUUCGGAUGUUGUUUAUGACUCACAAAUAACGCAGCAUAUCGGCGGCUUGUCCGCUGAUAUUCCGAAAAAGUGUCUGCCCUAUCAACCUGAUGGUAGUCUAUUAGUCUACCAUGGUUAUUACGGGUAACGGAGAAUAGGGUUCGACUCCGGAGAGGAGCCUUAGAAACGGCUACCACAUCCAAGGAAGGCAGCAGGCGCAGAAACAUCAAUCUUGAAUAGAUGAAUAGUGACUAAAAAUAAAGACCAUUCCUAUGGAACGGUCAUUCCAAUGAGUUGAUCAUAAACCUUUUUUCGAGGAACAAGUGGAGGGCAAGUCUGGUGCCAGCAGCCGCGGUAAUUCCAGCUCCACUAGUGUAAAUCGUCAUUCCGGUUAAAAAGCUCGUAGUUGGAUCUGAGUUACAUGCAGUGGUUCACCUUUGGUGUUAAUCGCUGUUGUGACUAUUUGCUGGUUUUCUAUUAAAGCUUCGGCUUUUUUGGUGGCUAGCAGUUUACUGAAUAAAUUAGAGUGCUCAGAACAAGCGUUUGCUUGAAUGGUCGAUCAUGGAAUAAUAAAGAGGACGGUUCUAUUUAUUGGUUCAGGAACUGAAAUAAUGGUUAAGAGGGACAAUUCGGGGGCAUUCGUAUCCCUGCGCGAGAGGUGAAAUUCGUGGACCGCAGAGGACGCCCAAAGCGAAAGCAUUUGCCAAGAAUGUCUUCAUUAAUCAAGAACGAAGUCAGAGGUUCGAAGGCGAUUAGAUACCGCCCUAGUUCUGACCGUAAACUAUGCCAUCUAGCGAUCCGAUGGGGAAUUGUUGCCUUGUCGAGCUUCCAGGCGCAAAGAAGUCUUUCGGUUCCUGGGGUAGUAUAUGGUUGCAAAGCUGAAACUUAAAAGAAAUGACGGAAUGGCACCACAGAGGUGGACCUGCAGCUUAGUGACUCAACACGGGAAAACUCACCCGGCCCGGACACUAAGGAUUGACAGAUUGAAAGCUCUUUUCUCGAUUUGGUGGUUGGUGGUGGUGCAUGGCCGUUCUUAGAUUGGUGGAGCGAUUUGUCUGGUUUAUUCCGAUAACAGCAGACUCUAACCUGCUAAAUAGUGGCUGAAUUUCAUGUUCAGUCUACUUCUUGAAGGAUAAGCGGUGACUAGCCGCACGAGAUUGAGCGAUAACAGGUCUGUGAUGCCCUUAGAUGUCCGGGGCUGCACGCGCGCUACAAUGGAAGAAUCAGCUGGCCUAUCCAUUGCCGAAAGGCAUUGGUAAACCGUUGAAACUCUUCCGUGACCGGGAUAGGGAAUUGUAAUUAUUUCCCUUGAACGAGGAAUUCCUAGUAAGUGUGAGUCAUCAGCUCACGCUGAUUACGCCAUUUGUACACACCGCCCGUCGCUGUCGGGACUGAGCUGUCUCGAGAGGACUGCGGACUGCUGUAUCGAGGCUUUCGGGUCGCGGUAUGGCGGGAAACAGUUCAAUCGCAAUGGCAGACCGGGUAAAAGUCGUAACAAGGUAUCUGUAGGUGAACCUGCAGAUG
This 1702-nucleotide ribosomal RNA is filed under the name Nippostrongylus brasiliensis. RNAcentral's name for it is "SSU rRNA". It matches the Rfam family "Eukaryotic small subunit ribosomal RNA". The record is from RNAcentral. Lineage: Eukaryota; Metazoa; Nematoda; Chromadorea; Rhabditida; Heligmosomidae.